This 607-nucleotide long non-coding RNA is filed under the name Phoenix dactylifera (date palm). RNAcentral describes it as "long non-coding RNA (PDAC_LNC018478)". The record is from RNAcentral. Lineage: Eukaryota; Viridiplantae; Streptophyta; Magnoliopsida; Arecales; Arecaceae.
UCUUUCUUUCUUUCUUUCUUCCCUCCCCUCCAUCAUCAACAGAUGAACCACCGAGGUGGUAGCUCAGCCUCUCUCCCCCCACACCCGACGGCAACCCAAGCUGCCUUCCCUCCGACCGCUGUCGUCGCCGCCGGUGGCCAACCCACGCGGAGGGAGAGGAGGAAGGGACGGGAUCACGAGGAGGAAGGCCUCGGAUCCGCCAUCCCCCAUCUCCAAUCAAAGCCCUAGAACCCUACUCCAAAUCUCCUCUAUCCCGACCACCCCACCGCCAUGGACCUCGGCCAAUCCCGGAGGCCGGCGGUGGCGAAAUCCAAAAGAAAGGGGCCGAAACAGGGGUACCCUGUUUCGGAUCCCUCUUCGACGGCUUCACCGGCCAAAACUCCACCAACACCACCCAAAAACCAAUCAAUGAAGCACAAGGACUUACCUCGGUCCGGCGGGAUGCUCCGGCGGCCCUUCCGGCGAGAAAUCGGUGGAGAAAUCCGUGAGUAAACCCACGGAUCCGAGGCCUCUUCGUGUGUUUGGUGGGGAUCCUCCUCCUUGACCCGCCGGCUUGCGAAAUCCGCCGCUUUCCCCCACGAUCGCCCUCUUCUCCGGCGGUCAAGCU